Molecule: ribosomal RNA, 226 nt
Filed under: uncultured Pseudomonadota bacterium
Lineage: Bacteria; Pseudomonadati; Pseudomonadota
Description: uncultured proteobacterium partial 16S ribosomal RNA
Rfam family: Bacterial small subunit ribosomal RNA
Source: RNAcentral
ACCAUAUACAGCCGAGAGGCGAAAGAUUUAUCGCUGUGAGAUGAGCCUAUGCGGGAUUAGCUAGUUGGUGAGGUAAACGCUUACCAAGGCUACGAUCCCUAGUUGGUCUGAGAGGAUGAACAGCCACACUGGAACUGAGACACGGUCCAGACUUCUACGGAAGGCAGCAGUGGGGAAUUUUGGACAAUGGGCGAAAGCCUGAUCCAGCGACGCCGCGUGGGUGAUG